GAUGAAGAACGUAGCGAAAUGCGAUAAGUAAUGCGAAUUGCAGAAUUCAGUGAAUCAUCGAAUCUUUGAACGCACAUUGCGCCCGCCAGUAUUCUGGCGGGCAUGCCUGUCUGAGCGUCGUUUCGACCCUCGCGCCCGGCUUCUGUCGGGGGCGGUGUUGGGGAUCGGCCACACCCUUCAGUGGGAGGCCGGCCCCUAAAUUCAGUGGCGACCACGCUGUAGCCUCCCCUGCGUAGUACUAAAACCACCUCGCAGGCGGAGAGCGGUGCGGCCCGCCGUAAAACCCCCAACUUUUACAAGGUCGACCUCAGAUCAGGUAGGAAUACCCGCUGAACUUAAGCAUAUCAAUAAGCGGAGGA
This 359-nucleotide unclassified non-coding RNA is filed under the name soil metagenome. Its description in RNAcentral is "partial contains 5.8S ribosomal RNA, internal transcribed spacer 2, and large subunit ribosomal RNA". The stretch from base 1 to 120 matches the Rfam family "5.8S ribosomal RNA", at positions 35 to 154 of the family's 154-position model. The record is from RNAcentral.